GACGAACGCUGGCGGCGUGCUUAACACAUGCAAGUCGAACGGAAAGGCCCUGCUUUUGUGGGGUGCUCGAGUGGCGAACGGGUGAGUAACACGUGAGUAACCUGCCCUUGACUUUGGGAUAACUUCAGGAAACUGGGGCUAAUACCGGAUAGGAGCUCCUGCUGCAUGGUGGGGGUUGGAAAGUUUCGGCGGUUGGGGAUGGACUGGCGGCUUAUCAGCUUGUUGGUGGGGUAGUGGCUUACCAAGGCUUUGACGGGUAGCCGGCCUGAGAGGGGGACCGGCCAAAUUGGGACUGAGAUACGGCGCAGAGUCCUACGGGGGGCAGCAGUGGGGAAUAUUGCACAAUGGGCGGAAGCCUGAUGCAGAAACGCCGCGUGCGGGAUGACGGCCUUCGGGUUGUAAACCGCUUUCGCCUGUGACGAAGCGUGAGUGACGGUAAUGGGUAAAGAAGCACCGGCUAACUACGUG
This 468-nucleotide ribosomal RNA is filed under the name uncultured bacterium. RNAcentral's name for it is "partial 16S ribosomal RNA". It matches the Rfam family "Bacterial small subunit ribosomal RNA", at positions 28 to 507 of the family's 1533-position model. The record is from RNAcentral.